UGAGUAACCUGCCCUUAACUCUGGGAUAAGCCUGGGAAACUGGGUCUAAUACCGGAUAUGACUCCUCAUCGCAUGGUGGGGGGUGGAAAGCUUUAUUGUGGUUUUGGAUGGACUCGCGGCCUAUCAGCUUGCUGGUGAGGUAAUGGCUCACCAAGGCGACGACGGGUAGCCGGCCUGAGAGGGUGACCGGCCACACUGGGACUGAGACACGGCCCAGACUCCGUACGGGGAGGCAG
This 236-nucleotide ribosomal RNA is filed under the name uncultured bacterium. RNAcentral describes it as "partial 16S ribosomal RNA". It matches the Rfam family "Bacterial small subunit ribosomal RNA", at positions 118 to 351 of the family's 1533-position model. The record is from RNAcentral.